AUGAGACAAAAAUCUUGGAUUACUAAUGGACAAAAUUUAUUAUAUAAAUUACAAGAGAUGAAUAAAAUGUCUCGUAGAGAAAGAACCUCCUUUCCUGGAUGCUCUUCCACGUUCGGGAUGGACCCCGCAUAAUUCCUUGGAUUUCUGAUCUGGAACUAAGUCUUUCAAUGAUCCUUGCAUGCACCUGGUCGGUGGAGAUAUUAAUGACAUGGUAG
RNAcentral lists this long non-coding RNA (215 nucleotides) under Papio anubis (olive baboon). RNAcentral's name for it is "lncRNA (ENSPANG00000039894.1)". Lineage: Eukaryota; Metazoa; Chordata; Mammalia; Primates; Cercopithecidae. The record is from RNAcentral.